Molecule: long non-coding RNA, 3069 nt
Organism: Brienomyrus brachyistius
Lineage: Eukaryota; Metazoa; Chordata; Actinopteri; Osteoglossiformes; Mormyridae
Exons: 8
Source: RefSeq, a predicted model, not a curated record
CAUUCCAUCAUCUCUCAACUAUGCUGGAGUGAAGCUAUACACUGACACACAGCAGAAAAGCCUUUUAAAUCUGAUAAAUACAUUCAUAAAUAUGUCCACAGAGAUAAUAAAGCUAAUCUUAAUGUGGUACAUAGACAGAUACAGCAGUACUGCCUCCUAGCCUGCAGGGGGAGCCGUUCACCAGUUUCAGUGUUCCCUUCAAAAUACCAGGCUGGGUUGUAAACUUGCUUAAUGCUCAUGUGCCUCCCGCACUACAGUUUAAUUGCUUUUGCAUACUAUAGCAGCAUGGAACAGCAGAGCACAGAGGCAAGUGCAUGGGCACACAAUGAAGAUGGGGAACAAGAAUGAAGGACACAGGAAGCUGACAGGGAAAGGAGGAGAAGAAAGGGAAAGGGCUAAAACUGCACUGGGGGAGAUUCAACUGAGGUGGACAGCCGCCUGCACACAUUACGAGCAACCAUCUCAUUAAUUUCCCAGCAUGCAACAGUGAUUACCCCUGCUUAUGUCUCUAACUUCAGUUGUAAGUUAUGAACGCUAUGGAUCAUUUUGGAAAGUUUUUUAGCGAAGCAGUCAGUGGAGUCGAGGGCAGAAGUAAAGGCUAUGAGACGCAUGGUGAGGCCCCGCCCAGGAUGGCAGGAUCGUUCACUCUACCUUGAUGCGCCACCAACCCUGUCACAAACCCAUGGGCAUGGAAACAUUUUUCAAAAGCACUGAGGAGCUUGAAUUAAACUACCAUGGACGUUAUGUGGUUGCAGAGUGUCACAUUGUCCAGUUCACCAUCCCGCUGGGCCAAAGUCAUACACAGAGAUAAGUCUUUCAUGAUGUACAUACAGGUGUACUGUACAUGUGGCACAGGUGGAGACAUGAUUUGUUGUAUGUUGCUUGUUUCAGAAAUCCUCACCUGGACAUAGUGUGGUGCAGGUGACCCUUUGGAAGGGUGGGCCCUCGCAGACGGCCCCGCCAUUGAGUGGUGCUGGAUUGGUACAGCUGCGUGUCCUUCGCUGCCAGCCCCUCCCACAGCGUACGUUGCACUCUGACCACUCUGUCCAGGAUGACCAUCCUCCGCUCACUGAGGAGGAAAGGCAGGCAGAUGGGCCAAAUGCCCACGGAGACCCGAUUCUGUAUCUGCUGUUUUAGACAUUUUUCUAGUAAAGGACGCAAUCAGAUGGGGAUGCCGGGAGUAUAGCCUUGGUUACCAUAGACUAUGAUGGUGGCGGUGCUGCUACGCCUCUUGGCCACCACAUUGUGGGCCACGCAGGUGUAGUUGGCUGUGUCGGAGAGGCGAGCCUGCUUGAUGAUCAGGUCAUGGUCAACGGUUAUCAAGAAGUUGGAGUCCAGUGUUGGGUCGAUUGUGUCUUCGUUCUUCAGCCAGUCCACCUAGAAGUGAAUACAGGUCCAGAUUGCAAGUAGGCUACGUGUCAUGGAAUGAAUCACUUAAGAAGGUAGAAAGUCAGGUGUAAUGAUGGAGGGUGUUGAGAAAUGAAGCGGUGAAGCAAUAGCUGUACCUCAGGAGGAGGGAUGCCCUCUGGGGGCCGACACUGCAGCAACACCUCUUGUUCCAGGCGCACCUCCCUGCCCAGUGGCUCCUGCUCAAAGUUCUUGCGCAAGUCUGCAUGGGAAGGGAGAUGGUGAGUUUGGAGUUCAGUUUUUCAGUAGGUGAUAUCCUGGAGGACACCCGUGAAAAACCUGGUGCACCUACAUGAGUGCACACAAGGAAGCAUGUGUUGCUGAACUCACAAGCGAUGCGCACGUACGCCCGGCGGCUCUUGGUGGUGCCGGCUGAGCUCCAGGCCACGCACUGGCACCAGAAGUCUUCUAGGCCGAACAGCUCCUCCACCUGAGUCCUGGAAACGGAGAUAUCCACUUCUCGUACCACUAGGCCUGCAGGGGAAGCUUGAGGCCGCCAAGGCCCCGACAUCAGCAGAGCCCUGGAUCUGCUCUCCUCACAAUUUUAGUGGUAAUGUUACAGAGAUAGGCGAUGUGCCAGUCCCAUUGCGUCCCUCUAUCAUGCGACAUGAGUGGAAAGCCCCCCUCCCGUUUUCCACUACUAUCCACGGCAUGGUGCUACCUAGCGCGUCACCACCAGACGUGAUGAUUGCGGCCAACGAUUGCUCUGCCAGAACAAGGUUUUUAAUUUACUGCCUCUCUUCAGGCGAAUAAUCAAAUCAGGCCUCCCUGACCUUCACUUCCUCUCUCCCCGAGAGAGACGGACAAGCUCCUGGAGCAUGUUGGCGAAUGGUUGUCUGACAUCCAUAACUCCAGGCAAACUCUGAAAAUCAAUUUCAGUCAAACUAACGACGGUAGGGCACAGCAAAAACUCUAUUACAUUGGGCCCUGAAAGGAUAUUUAAAAUAUCUUACACGAAGUCGCACUCAACCCAUGGCUCUCUACACAUUGGCUAAACCGCCAGGUAUGCUGCAUGGUUUGAUGGGCCGUAACCCAAAGUGGGUUCUGAAAAUGGCAACUCAGAGAAAAGGGAAGGAGGAUAUUUGAGUAUACCACAAAAGUGGACUGGCUCAUACUGGGCUGAAAAGGCAAUCCUAGGACAGUGAGUUCAACCCUGAAAGGGACAGGGCUUCAUAGGGAAUCUGGUAUCCAGGGUGGAACUACUACACCCUGGUUUAAGAACUGCAGUCAGAGUCUUCUCAUUCUUACUGCUUCUGUCUGGAAAGUGAGGUCAGACAAGGAGGAAGGAGUGUGAGGAGAGGUCCCAGACACUCUGCCACUCGCGUUGCAUUGAUCGCUGGGCACAAACUAAAAGUGAAAAGACGGCCGUCGUUUGGAAGUUUGAAAAAAGACGCAAUCAUCCAAAUCCCACCUCUGCACCGACCCUCCAAUAUCAUUUGGGCAGCAUUAAUAUCAAGUCGACCUGGACUUUCAGAACAGAUGCAGUUUAAUUAACAAAAGCAGACAUGGGGCAAGCAUGGAAAAGCAGUCUUUUAGAGAGUGAGGGAGAGGCGGGAAACAGGACGAUUGUAGGGUUUUACUGGAACCUGUGUUUUCCACCGGUGCACAAACAGCCGGCAAUUUCUGUGGAAUGCCCAAUGCUUUAAAGAGGAGUGCUCUUAA